UUUUUUUUCUUUUUUUUUUUUUGAGAUGGAGUCUCGCUCUGUCACCCAGGCUGGAGGGCAGUGGCACAAUCUCGGCUCACUGCAAGUUCCGCCUUCUGGCUUCACGCCAUUCUCCUGCCUCAGCCUCCUGAGUAACUGGGACUACAGGUGCCUGUCACCACGCCCGGCUAACUUUUUUGUGUGUUUUUAGUAGAGACAGGGUUUCACCAUGUUAGCCAGGAUGGUCUUAAUCUCCUGACCUUGUGAUCUGCCUACCUCGGCCUCGCAAAGUUCUGGUAUUACAGACAUGAGCCACCGCGCCUGGCUGAGAACCACUUUUCUAGAUUAUCUACCUAGAAAUGGAAUUUCUUUGUUGUUAUGUUAUGUGCCUCUUCAGCAUCAUUACAAGAUGCCAACAUUUUUUCCAAAGUUGUUUCCAAAGUUGUUUUACCAAUUUAUAAUCUGAAGAACAGCAUAAUACUGUUUAUAUUUGCUUAUAUUGCUGUUUUGUGUUAUUCUCUGUUAGUCUGAGUCUUCUCAGAAGCAGAUGUCAAGACAAGAUUAUAAAUUCAAGAUAUAUUGGGUAACACCUGUGAAACAUAAUGAAGAAGAAACAGGGGAAAGCGGGGAGAACUUCUGCACUAUAAUGCAGGUCUGGCACCUCAGAAGGGGAGUGGGAAGGAAAGAGGAUUGAGUAGAAAAAGCCUUAAAUUUCAGCACCAUUCUAAGAAAGCUUCAGCAAGACUAUUGGGUAAUCCUAGAGCCAGUGACCAGUUAAGAAUUCUGCACAUCACAGGAAUGAACUUGCAUUAGUGCCUCCAUGGUGCUUUUAAUCAUCGGCUGGCUGCCACCCGGGAAACUUGGCCUUUGUGGAUCCAGAGGGUCACCAAUUGGCAUCAUGAGUCAUUUAUGCUCCCCACAGAUGAGAUCUGACCAUUUCAUGGCCUCCAACCCUUGGUCAAGUUGAGGAUCAGAUUAUAUGAUAUUGUCUGUUUGCACUUCAUAUUCUAUAAAUUUUCUAUGCAUUUUCUUUUCCCAGAUUUCUAUUAGAUUGACUUUUUGCUUUAAAAUUCAUAAGGGCUUUGUUUGUGUAUAAAAACACAAGCUCCAUAUUGUCAUAUAUACCACAAAUAUUUUCUCUCAGCUUACCAUUUAUCUUUAGAUUUUGUAUGUGUGGU
RNAcentral lists this long non-coding RNA (1157 nucleotides) under Macaca fascicularis (crab-eating macaque). RNAcentral describes it as "lncRNA (ENSMFAG00000052502.1)". The record is from RNAcentral. Lineage: Eukaryota; Metazoa; Chordata; Mammalia; Primates; Cercopithecidae.